AGUGAACGCUGGCGGCGUGCUUAACACAUGCAAGUCGAACGAGAACGGAAUAUAGCUUGCUAUAUUUGUCAGCUAAGUGGCGCACGGGUGAGUAAUGUAUAGAUAACCUGCCCUUAAGAAAGGAAUAACAGUUGGAAACGACUGCUAAUGCCCUAUAUGCCUUUAAUACAUAAGUAUGCAAGGGAAACGAUUUAGUGCUUAAGGAUUGGUCUGUAUGGUAUAAGCUUGUUGGUGAGGUAAUGGCUCACCAAGGCUAUGACGCCUAACUGGUUUGAGAGGAUGAUCAGUCACACUGGAACUGAGACACGGUCCAGACUCCUACGGGAGGCAGCAGUGGGGAAUAUUGCACAAUGGACGAAAGUCUGAUGCAGCAACGCCGCGUGGAGGAUGACACAUUUCGGUGCGUAAACUCCUUUUAUAUAGGAAGAUAAUGACGGUACUAUAUGAAUAAGCACCGGCUAACUCCGUGCCAGCAGCCGCGGUAA
This 485-nucleotide ribosomal RNA is filed under the name uncultured bacterium. RNAcentral's name for it is "partial 16S ribosomal RNA". It matches the Rfam family "Bacterial small subunit ribosomal RNA", at positions 29 to 523 of the family's 1533-position model. The record is from RNAcentral.